AUUUAUAUAGUUUAUUAAAAACAUUACACUUUCACUGUAAAAACAAAGUUCAACUUUUAUAAAUA
Molecule: transfer RNA, 65 nt
Filed under: Reticulitermes affinis
Lineage: Eukaryota; Metazoa; Arthropoda; Insecta; Blattodea; Rhinotermitidae
Also listed under: 2 other names
Description: tRNA-Glu
Rfam family: tRNA
About the family: Transfer RNA (tRNA) molecules are approximately 80 nucleotides in length.
Source: RNAcentral